This 163-nucleotide ribosomal RNA is filed under the name uncultured bacterium. Its description in RNAcentral is "partial 16S ribosomal RNA". It matches the Rfam family "Bacterial small subunit ribosomal RNA", at positions 355 to 509 of the family's 1533-position model. The record is from RNAcentral.
UAGGGAAUUUUCGUCAAUGGGGGCAACCCUGAACGAGCAAUGCCGCGUGAGCGAAGAAGGUCUUCGGAUUGUAAAGCUCUGUUGGACCGGGGAAAAGGAAGGAAAGAGGAAAUGCUUUUCUUUGGAUGGUACCCGGCCAGAAAGUCACGGCUAACUACGUGCC